This 2722-nucleotide long non-coding RNA is filed under the name Musa acuminata (dwarf banana). Its description in RNAcentral is "long non-coding RNA (MACU_LNC004387)". The record is from RNAcentral. Lineage: Eukaryota; Viridiplantae; Streptophyta; Magnoliopsida; Zingiberales; Musaceae.
CAGCCGUGAACGGGGAAGAGGGAGGGGAAAAGGGAAGAGGGAAGAGGGAAGAGGCUGUAGGAUGGCUGCAGUGAAUGGGUAAGAAGGCAACGGUUAAUGGGGAAGAAGGCAGUGGUGAAAGGGGAAGAAGACAGCAAUGAAUGGGGAAGAGGGAAGAGGCUAUGGGAGGCCUGCGGUGAAUGGAGAAGAAGGCAGCGAUGAACAGGGAAGAGGGAAGAGGCUGCGGUGAACGUAGGAGGGCUGCGGUGAACAGGGAAGGAGUGGAAGAGAGAGAUAUACCGGGAGGGAGGGGAAGAAGCCAUUGCCGUUGCUGCUAAAGGAAGAUGCUGCCGCUGGAGGAAGAUGUUGCUGCAGCCGCUGCUGCUGGAAGAAGACGUUGCUGCCGCCGCUGCUGUCGUUCAUCGAUGGGAGGAACUCCGUCACCGUGCAAAAAAGAAGCGAGAAAGGGUUUCUGUGUUAGGGCUCACACGUGGACAGGUCUCAAUCAAACUCUGUGGUCAUCGACUUAGGGUCUAACCGGUUGAACUGAACCAGAUACAAUUCUUUGGUUCAACUCAGGCUCGAACUAGCCUGAGUUGAACCAGGCAUCCGCCCGGCGAGCGUUGACGCCCACCCAGUUCAUUAGGUGGGCACUCGGGCCUCGCUUCACCUCACCUCACCUCGCCUAGGUGAAUGCUUGGGCAACUAAUGAUUUCACUAGUCGGUAUGCUUUGAGUUAUGAACAAAUCACGAAGAAAGCUGAAAAAUAGAAAAAAAAAAAUCAUCUGGUAGAAGUCGAUAGACUCCACUCAUCAUACUAAAUCAUACCGAAUAGUAUUGCAAACCCUGGUUUUGGAUGAAAUAAUAAAAUUUUUGGUUAAAGUUGAUAUUAAGAAAAUUAAACUUGAUAUUGUAAAGGGCUAAUAGAGAAUCUCUAACAAUUUCUAGAUGAGAAUGCUUUGUAGUUUCAUCUUUCUGUAACUAUACAGAUAUGUGAAAGACAAAGAAUGAGAUGCUCAUAUGUAUCUGAAUCACAAUUUGGCAUCCUGCUGAUUGUAAUAUCUUAGAUUUCAUCUUAUACUUGUUCUGGAUAAGAUUAAUGAUCUUAGUUUACAAAUGUUUUGCAGAUCUAAGAGGUUAGAAUAAAGCUCUCAAAUUCAUUUGAUGAUAUAUUAGAAAGGGGAAGCUUGUCUGACUGGUACUUUUGGGAUUAGCUUCCCCAUUCAGGACUCAUAUUUCCACUCAAAGUGGUUGGAUGGGAAAAGAAAUGAAUGUGAAUUAGGUUCUUGACAAGUGUAAUCGCCGUCGCAAGUAAUUUUCUCUUCAAGUAAUAUGUGCAUAUAAAGUAGCCUUUAUUGGUCCUUGGUGAAAUUUUACCUGCGACAGUAACUGGGCAAUAAGUUUUGCUCUUCUUUCCAAUGUAUUGUUCUCUUUUUUCCUUUCUUUUGUGCUGAAGUUAUCACUUAUAUUAAUGAUGUUAGUCUUGCUCAACCAAAUGGUGCUGUGGAGCAAAUCUUAAGUACCUAAGUAUGAUAUCAUAUCUGCUUUCAGAAUGGCAAUAAAGCAUCAGACCUUGUAAACUGUUUCACAUUCUUUCUCAAGUAACUCGAGUUUCAAUUCUGCUAUUGAUGGUGUCAUAGAGAAUGAGUUCGGAAGGUUGUGGCAGGGCCUCCUGAUUCAGUUCCAAAAAGUUUGGUUGGAUUAUACAUGAAAGAUUGAGAUAAAAAGGCAAUGGGAUGCUGAACUAGAAACUAAUGUCUCAAGAUUUCUUAAAUGCUGAGUAGCAAGAUAAUGGUCACUGAGUGAUUCUGUUUCAGAGCAACAAAUGCUUCUCUAAUAGAAAAGCAAGUUCACUAGUUGAUCAUAAGUAUGACAAUCUUACAAAGCAACAACAAAUAUUUCUCUUUGGCAAAUAUGUUUAUCUCCAAUAUAUUUGUCAGAGUACACAUCACUUGAGGUUGAGGACACAGAGCUCUAAUAUCAAACUAUUUGAAGGAGAUCAGGCUUUCACAAACCACUCAAUCAAAGAAUGAUUUGAGUUACAAUUUUUAAUGAAGCGCAAUUGGAUAAAUGUUCUAAAAAAAAAUUGAUGCUGCAUUCAGAAGAAGCAGAAUGUACCACAAAAUUGCACAAAGAUUUAAAGAUAUAAUUUACUCAAAUUAAUCGAAAGUAAAAGAAUCACUUUUAACAUUGAGAUGUUAUCAACCUAUCAGUAGUGGAAAGAUGAAAUUAUAAAUCUACAAUAAUAGCUGGUUAAUCCGCUUUCACUUCCACCUUAUUCACCUCGGUCAUUAAAAGAAAUAUAAACAAGCAAACAGAAGUUCUAAUUCUAACAGUCUCAAUUGAGAUCACGUCAAAUCAUUCUAUGAUAAUAGAAGGAUUGGAUUCGGGGAAGGCGACGACCAUACCUUGUCGAUCGGGCUGGAGGACGACAUGGCACCCGAGCCCGGCAUGCCUGUUGGCUAUUGGAAGCCAUGGUGAGUGCGUAGCCGCUCGUCGGAGGAUGCGGGCGGGAGCUUGUCGAGCCACUCCUGGGUGAUGUUAACCUCGCCGCACAUGGCCGAGCAGGCAUCGAUGAGGCCGGUGGUGAUCGCGGCGCGGCGGCGGCCGAGGACGAGGAGGAGCGGGCGCGGGCGAGGGACGGGAUCGAACGAGGUGGAGAGGGAGUCGACGGAGAGCGACGAUCGCCAUUGCGAGCUCAAAUCUCUCGAGAACGGGGUGGCGGCUUUGGGAGAGACGAAUU